GUGAAGAUUGCAUGAUUUAAUGUAUCUUGUUCCAUGUAUUUUGGAUAUUUUAUCUGCUUUUUCCUAUUUGCAUCCUAUUCUUUUCUCUUACUAAUACUUUGUAAGAUUAUUCAAAAGGAGCUAUGUUUUCUUAGCAGCCAAAACUUGCCAUCUCUUCAUCUUUCUUAUCUUUAACUGUCAUUGUCAAUGAUGAGUAUGCUUCCGUGCCUUUUUUGUUGUUGAUGAGCCUUAUAUGACUCCUGCAAUAAUAAAUUCUAACAUUUUUUAAAUCAAAAGAAAAAAAAAACAGUUAACGUUUUACCUGCCAAAUUUUUUCCCUUUAAAUACAUUUACAGAAUUGAAAGGAUUGAUCAUCAAGCAACGGCAGCCUUCUCUUCCUUUGUCUCCAACCUGAAGAAUCUUCCUGACAGUAGCUACAGCAUGGUUCCUGAAUCUUGCCGCUCAUUGAAAAUAAAGAACACUCAUUAGAAUCAGGUUAUGGGAACUCCAAUCAGCUCAGAAAUAUUUUCACCUGACCCUGCUAUCCAAUACCAUCUUUCAUCUUCUUCAAAUUGUUCUUCUACAUCGAAGAAAAACAAAGUAAAUUCAGUUUUUAAAAGAGUGAACAAAUUACGAGAGAAAGCUGACAAUUUUGCACAAGGAGAUAGAGAGCAUGAUAACUACCAUUCAUUAGAAACGUGGAAAGAAUCAGAACUGAAAACAAGCUAAGUUCUAACUUUUUUUUGAAAUUGCAGUGAGUCUAGGGCCAAAUAUCAGUCAAACCGUAAAAGGGAAGUUUAGCUUGGGUGCUAAAAUUCUUUAAGUUGGUGGUGGUGUGGAGAAAAUAAUCAAGCAGUUGUUCGGAGUAGAAGAAGAUGAGAAAUUGUUGAAUAUUUCUCAAUGCUACCUGUCAACCACUGCAGGUCUCUUGUUUGUCUCCAGUUACAGGGUUGGCUUUUGCAGGGAGAGAUCAGUAAAAUUCUCUUCUCCAAAUGAACUAUCAGUCAGAGUUCAUUACAAGGGUCUGAUCUCACUUGCAAAGGUUAAAAGGGUUAACAAGAGUGAGAAUAUGAAGAAUCCAUCCCAAAAGUACAUGGAAGUAGUUACGGUUGAUGGGUUUGAUUUCUGGCUUUUAGGGUUCUUGAAUUAUCAGAAAACUUUUGUUAACUAUAUUUAGUUAAUUUGUUAGUGUAGAGAUAAGUAUGUAUAAGCUGUAGUAGUUAGAUGUUAUUCUAAUUGUAUUUUUGAUAAGGUUGCUUGUUACGUAAGUAGUUAGAAGUUAUCCUUGUAACAAACUUCUAUAUAUAUUCAGGUUGAAUGAAUAGAGAAAGGUGACAGAAAUUAAUCAA
This is a long non-coding RNA of Ricinus communis (castor bean), 1328 nucleotides long. RefSeq lists it as uncharacterized. The record is from RefSeq and is a predicted model, not a curated record. Lineage: Eukaryota; Viridiplantae; Streptophyta; Magnoliopsida; Malpighiales; Euphorbiaceae. The transcript is spliced from 2 exons.